AGGUCGUUAGUUCAAUGGUAGAAUAAUGGAUUCCAAAUCCACUGAUGAGAGUUCGAUUCUUUCACGGCCUG
Molecule: transfer RNA, 71 nt
Filed under: Providencia phage PSTRCR_127
Lineage: Duplodnaviria; Heunggongvirae; Uroviricota; Caudoviricetes; Pantevenvirales; Straboviridae
Description: tRNA-Trp
Rfam family: tRNA
About the family: Transfer RNA (tRNA) molecules are approximately 80 nucleotides in length. Their secondary structure includes four short double-helical elements and three loops (D, anti-codon, and T loops).
Source: RNAcentral